Molecule: ribosomal RNA, 468 nt
Filed under: uncultured bacterium
Lineage: Bacteria
Description: partial 16S ribosomal RNA
Rfam family: Bacterial small subunit ribosomal RNA
Source: RNAcentral
GACGAACGCUGGCGGCGUGCUUAACACAUGCAAGUCGAACGGAAAGGCCCUGCUUUUGUGGUGUGCUCGAGUGGCGAACGGGUGAGUAACACGUGAGUAACCUGCCCUUGACUUUGGGAUAACUUCAGGAAACUGGGGCUAAUACCGGAUAGGAGCUCCUGCUGCAUGGUGGGGGUGGGAACGUUUCGGCGGUUGGGGAUGGACUCGCGGCUUAUCAGCUUGUUGGUGGGGUAGUGGCUUACCAAGCAUUUGACGGGUAGCCGGCCGGGGAGGGUGACCGGCCACAUGACGCCUGCGAGACGGCGCAGACUCCAAUGGUAGGCAGCAGGGGCGAGUAUUGCACAGUGGGCGGGAGCGUGAUGCAGAAGCGCCGCGUGCGGAAUGACGGCCUUCGGGUUGUAAACCGCUUUCGCCUGUGACGACGCGUGAGUGACGGUAAUGGGUGAAGAAGCACCGGCUAACUACGUG